Myotis brandtii (Brandt's bat) is the source of this 232-nucleotide long non-coding RNA. RefSeq lists it as uncharacterized. The record is from RefSeq and is a predicted model, not a curated record. The transcript is spliced from 2 exons. Lineage: Eukaryota; Metazoa; Chordata; Mammalia; Chiroptera; Vespertilionidae.
GGUGUCCCCAAAACCUGUACACUCACUUUAACAGCUGGUAACUCACUGAAGUUUCACUUCAGGUUUAACUGAUGUGAAAGAAUGGGUGCAGCCAGACUGAGCUUUGAACAAAGAAAAUUUAUCCACUAGACUUUUUAUGGGGAUACAUACAAGAUAAAUUUUACAGUACAAAACCGUCAACUCUUGACGAAUUGAAGGCGCACAAAUACCGAAUAAAAUGAUUAUUUUUAAA